Molecule: non-coding RNA, 45 nt
Organism: Schistosoma mattheei
Lineage: Eukaryota; Metazoa; Platyhelminthes; Trematoda; Strigeidida; Schistosomatidae
Source: Rfam
AUUCAGCUGAUGAGUCUCAAAUAGGACGAAACGCGCAUCCUGGAU